CUGUUUAUCAUGAAGGCUGACAGAUUCAUGUGCUAACUGUCUUGUGUGACCAUGGAUUUUGAGCUACAGAAAAAACUGAGAUGAAUUUGGUAAUUUGAAAAAUGCAAAGCAAAUUGAAGAUCUUGAAAAAUUGAAAGGAAUUCUUCGGACAGAUCUGCAAAUUUCCAGUAUAAUGUUUUAAGAGUUAUCUAUGACAACAAUGAAAUGGGAAGAACCCUUGUGAACUGACCCAUCGCCCAAUCCAUACUACAACAGUGAAGGAGAGCACCAUAAGGAAACAGAAUGGAAAGAAUAAACCUUGGAGGAAUGACUUCAGGAUUUUGUGGGCAAGUUCAUGCAAGUUUUAAAAUCCUAUAUGGUCAUUCUGAUGUGGUGGUCCAUGAAAAUGUGUGUCACAACAAUUGUGUUAAUCUUGGAAGUAACACAAAUCUUUUGUAUACAUUGAUAGGACCGCUUUCACUCAGUGGUUUAUGUCAGCAUGGCAUUGAUCAAACUUUGCUGAGUUGAUUAAUAUCCACUGAUACUGACCAUAGGAAGGGGCUUCCUAGAGCACAGUCAGCUUGCUCAGCCUGUCUAUCUGUAAGUAUAGCAGGUACCCCACUUCCCCCAGUUAGAAGCACUGUGGAUGAGGCCUAAAUGGAUAUCAAUGUAUGUGAAGAAGGCUCAUUCCAUGUGGGCAUGAAUCCUGUUCAACUAGGGGUGUGUGUGGUGUUUGGGUACGUUUUUGCUUUUGUUUUGCCAGAGGGGCAUGAGCAAUGUGUGUUUCUUGGUCUAAGGAUGGGGAUACCUGAGUGUAUUCUUAGAAGUGUCACGACCUACUUGCAGGGUCCUCCCUAGAAGAAGGCAUGCCUCAGUUGGAGGGUUGUGGAGAUUUGCUGGAGGCUCCAGCCACCGGACCCUGCCCAAAGACACCAGAAGCAAAGCCUGGUCCAACUAACGAAGACUCAUUUCCUCCAAAAGAAAGGGUGCCUCAGAGGAAUAACAAAGAAUACGGGAAGACCAAAGAACAGCUGAGAUGAAAUAAACUUCUUUGACAAAAACA
Molecule: long non-coding RNA, 1042 nt
Filed under: Pogona vitticeps (central bearded dragon)
Lineage: Eukaryota; Metazoa; Chordata; Lepidosauria; Squamata; Agamidae
Description: lncRNA (ENSPVIG00000016049.1)
Source: RNAcentral